Molecule: ribosomal RNA, 474 nt
Filed under: uncultured bacterium
Lineage: Bacteria
Description: bacterial SSU rRNA
Rfam family: Bacterial small subunit ribosomal RNA
Source: RNAcentral
ACUCCUACGGGAGGCAGCAGUGGGGAAUAUUGCACAAUGGGCGCAAGCCUGAUGCAGCCAUGCCGCGUGUAUGAAGAAGGCCUUCGGGUUGUAAAGUACUUUCAGCAGUGAGGAAGGUUCAUGCGUUAAUAGCGUAUGGAUUUGACGUUAGCUGCAGAAGAAGCACCGGCUAACUCCGUGCCAGCAGCCGCGGUAAUACGGAGGGUGCGAGCGUUAAUCGGAAUUACUGGGCGUAAAGCGCAUGCAGGUGGUUUGUUAAGUCAGAUGUGAAAGCCCGGGGCUCAACCUCGGAAUUGCAUUUGAAACUGGCAGACUAGAGUACUGUAGAGGGGGGUAGAAUUUCAGGUGUAGCGGUGAAAUGCGUAGAGAUCUGAAGGAAUACCGGUGGCGAAGGCGGCCCCCUGGACAGAUACUGACACUCAGAUGCGAAAGCGUGGGGAGCGAAACAGGAUUAGAUACCCUGGUAGGAUAGCG